Molecule: ribosomal RNA, 17 nt
Filed under: Lipomyces sp. YB1a
Lineage: Eukaryota; Fungi; Ascomycota; Lipomycetes; Lipomycetales; Lipomycetaceae
Also listed under: 1 other name
Description: partial 28S ribosomal RNA
Source: RNAcentral
UUGACCUCAAAUCAGGC